This 322-nucleotide ribosomal RNA is filed under the name uncultured eukaryote. Its description in RNAcentral is "SSU rRNA". It matches the Rfam family "Eukaryotic small subunit ribosomal RNA", at positions 587 to 972 of the family's 1831-position model. The record is from RNAcentral.
AGCUCCAAUAGCGUAUAUUAAAGUUGCUGCAGUUAAAACGCUCGUAGUUGUUGUCCAACUAUACGCCGCUCUUCUUUGAAGAUGCGGUUUAAUAGUUUAGCGGGCUCGCCCUGCCAAAACCUUGAGGAAAGAUUAGUGUUCAAAGCAAUUACUACUUGACCUCUCCAGCAUGGUAUUUAACCAAAUCGAGGGAGAUUCUUGCCAAGUCUUCAUCAUACUAAAUAGAAAUUCAAGGGGGUAUACGUACUUUAAUGUCAGAGGUGAAAUUCCGUGAUUUUUAGGAGACGAUCAAAUGCGAAAGCAUUCACCAAGCGACUUUUCU